GUGGGGAAUAUUGGACAAUGGGCGAAAGUCUGAUCCAGCCAUGCCGCGUGUGUGAAGAAGGUCUUCGGAUUGUAAAGCACUUUAAGUUGGGAGGAAGGGCAGUAAGUUAAUACCUUGCUGUUUUGACGUUACCGACAGAAUAAGCACCGGCUAACUUCGUGCCAGCAGCCGCGGUAAUACGAAGGGUGCAAGCGUUAAUCGGAAUUACUGGGCGUACAGCGCGCGUAGGUGGUUUUGUAAGUUGGAGGUGAAAUCCCCGGGCUCAACCUGGGAACUGCCUCCAAAACUGCAUGACUAGAGUACGGUAGAGGGUAGUGGAAUUUCCUGUGGAGCGGUGAAAUGCGUAGAUAUAGGAAGGAACACCAGUGGCGAAGGCGACUACCUGGACUGAUACUGACACUGAGGUGCGAAAGCGUGGCGAGCAAACAGGAUUAGAUACCCGAGUAGUCC
This 450-nucleotide ribosomal RNA is filed under the name uncultured bacterium. Its description in RNAcentral is "partial 16S ribosomal RNA". It matches the Rfam family "Bacterial small subunit ribosomal RNA", at positions 354 to 796 of the family's 1533-position model. The record is from RNAcentral.